Molecule: long non-coding RNA, 2141 nt
Filed under: Physcomitrium patens
Lineage: Eukaryota; Viridiplantae; Streptophyta; Bryopsida; Funariales; Funariaceae
Description: long non-coding RNA (PPAT_LNC010944)
Source: RNAcentral
UGUAAAAGACAUCCGUACUGAUGAAAGCAUUAACGAAUCUGUAGAAGCACCCCUUGUUGUUAAAGUGAGUUCGUGAGUGUUUUCCAAUUUAAUGCAGUAAGUUCUCUCAACUCCUCCUCUACGUGGUACGUUACAUGACAUCGCAACAUGUAAAUGGGUUGCCUCUUCUCAGGCAGCACUGAGAACAUUAAACGGUAGCACUAGCAUGCUUGUUUUUUUUUCUUUCCUUUUUUUUCCUUUUUUUUUCUUAUUUCUUUUUUUUGCAUAUGCUGCCUUGUUCUUGCUUUCUCAAAACAAUCAGUAUUGUGCAGAAAGCAGUAUUGCUGCUUGAAAAUGAAUUUCUCUACAAUGACAUGCCCUGAAUUCAUUAUACGCAGUUCUGCUGCCUGAACAAAUGCUUCAAAUCUCUGUACGACAGUGACAGCCAUUUGAUACAUACUCCUUGAUGACAAUGUUCAAACCGAUUUUGUCAUGAAAUUUCCUGUGGAUUGUUGUUGAGAAUCCCGCACUAACUUUACAUCAGAUAAGAGGAAAGGAAUUUCGAGGACUAGACGACCUAAUCUUGUGGCAGGAGUUUGUGUCUGUUGGAACCACGAUAUAAGGGUUGUUGCUCAUCAUGCUGCUAUAUCCUUGACAAUGCUUUCUGAGGAUUGUACUCACUUGGUCAAGAGCUCUCAGAAAGAGGCAUGUCGGUGCAUACAUACAGGAUCAAUCUUGACAUGCUACUUGACAUAAAUAAUGCGACUGCCUGAACCCUUAAUGUUGUGAUCUUCAACGAAGCUUCUCCCCUAUGAGUGAAAAUAGAUGCAAGAAAUGUGGUUCUACUGUAAAAAGAAUUCUGGAUGGAUUUUUUUAAUCCAUGAGGGUUUUUUAUAAUGUAUUCUAUUAAUCAGACCUGACGAACAUCCAGUGUCUUGCCAGAGUUGAGAGUUGGUUUCCUGGUUGCUGUUUUGGAUCCUUGAUGUUUGUUGUCCCUGCUGCACAACGAUGUGCUGAUAUAUGCAUUAUAUAAAAUGCAUAAAUUGCAGACAAUCGACUUGUGGACGUGUCGGUGACUUUUGAUUGCACCCACAUCAAAAGAAUUAUUUCCACGGAUCCGUCUGUAUGCAGCAUGUUCAUAAAAGAAGCACUUGGUGGAGCAGCACGUCCGUGAUGAGGGUCUGUAACGCACUCUCUUCGAUUGUUCUUUCUUCAGCAUGAUUACUGUUUUUCAGCUCAUACACCAUAAUUGCGCAACGAAUUUUUUUGUGAGGGCCGCAGUCAUGCACUGUACAUAUAUAUACUUAUAUAUAUAUAUAUAUAUAUAUAUAUAUAUAGCAGUAAUCUAAGGUUCACGUAUUUUUAACUUUAGCAGCCCACGUUGCAUCCAUUAUUGUACAUGAUUUGCCAGAAGUUAUAUCCUGAAAUUCAAACUUGAAGAGCUAAUGAGGGAAAAAGUAUGUUGAAACUGUUAUGGGACUGCAGAUCUUGGAGACCCAGCAUAUCUGCAGUCAAACUAUCUGGUGAUACAACAGGCAAAACAUCCAAGAGCUACACUAUCAAGCUCUUGCAGAUGUCCUUUUUCAUGAAGAAUUAAAGAAAUAAUAAAUAAUACAUUAACAUAUAUAAAGAACAUUAUAUCACCUUCUUUUUUUUCCUUUUCCUUUUUGUUUCAAUUCAAUAAAGUUAGGACAUAGGAUGCAGGGUUUUGAGGAGAAUCAUCUACUACAACAUGCAGAAUUGACACUUAAACUCAAAAGGUAGAUAUACUAUCCCACCAAGCAUCUCACAAACAAUUACUCAUCCAAUGAAGGGAUUGAUCAAUUCCACUAAAAAACACUUGACGAAUACCAGACCUUAUUGCAUAAUGCUGUUUUAUCACACAUGUGACGCUUGCUUUGUGCAACAUGCUUCUCACAGUAUAUUCGAAGAUAAGACGUGAGCAACCGACCCAAUCGUAUCAGUUUAGAUAUUCUCGUUGCUGGCAAGGGUAUGAAUUUUUCCACAGGGAGUGAGUGAUGUUUGCCCACUGGUGCAGCCUCCGCCGACGUACCACCCAGAGCCUACAUGCUGGGAAAUUGAAACUGAUUGGUUCAGCUUUAGUUCACCAAUGAUAGAAGCUGAACCCUUUGUUGGAAUUAACGAAGAGUUUCUUUACUUUU